This 651-nucleotide ribosomal RNA is filed under the name Triticum aestivum (bread wheat). RNAcentral's name for it is "partial small subunit ribosomal RNA". The record is from RNAcentral. Lineage: Eukaryota; Viridiplantae; Streptophyta; Magnoliopsida; Poales; Poaceae.
AUGAGCCAGGACAAGGCCGCCGGCGAGAAGGCGGCGGCGGAGCCCAAGAGGCAGACGCCGCGGCUCAACGAGCGGAUCCUCUCCUCCCUCUCCCGGAGGUCCGUCGCCGCCCACCCGUGGCACGACCUCGAGAUCGGCCCCGGCGCUCCGGCGGUGUUCAACGUGGUGGUGGAGAUCACCAAGGGGAGCAAGGUCAAGUACGAGCUCGACAAGAAGACCGGGAUGAUCAAGGUUGACCGGAUCCUGUACUCGUCCGUGGUGUACCCUCACAACUACGGCUUCGUCCCACGCACCCUCUGCGAGGACAACGACCCCAUCGAUGUCCUCGUCCUCAUGCAGGAACCCGUCCUCCCCGGCACCUUCCUCCGGGCCAGGGCCAUCGGCCUCAUGCCUAUGAUCGAUCAGGGUGAGAAGGAUGACAAGAUCAUAGCCGUCUGCGCCGACGACCCCGAGUACCACAACCUCAACCAUCUCAGCGAGCUCUCUCCUCAUCGCCUCCAGGAGAUCCGCCGCUUCUUCGAAGAUUACAAGAAGAAUGAGAACAAGGAGGUGGCUGUCAACGACUUCCUCCCCGCCGAUGAUGCUCGUGCUGCCAUCCAGCACUCCAUGGAUCUGUACGCGGAAUACAUUAUGCACAGCCUAAGGCAGUAG